AGGGAUAAAUGUUUGUCAGCAUUGCAAAGGGGAAGUACGUGCCACCAAUCAUGCUGGAUGUGACGUGUCAAAUGUGGGCCAAGCAAAUGAUUUGAUGAUGACCGAUGCUACAGUCCAUUACUCCUCAGUGAGAGUAAACAGAGGGAACAGGAAGAGGAGUGACUCAACACAAGACUGUGUGUAUGCUGCUGUUAGACAAGAGUCCCACACUCAGCGGCAACCAUCAGCGUAGGCCAAGAAGGGCAGGAGUUGUAGUCCUUUAAUAGACGCU
Oreochromis niloticus (Nile tilapia) is the source of this 271-nucleotide long non-coding RNA. RefSeq lists it as uncharacterized. The transcript is spliced from 3 exons. The record is from RefSeq and is a predicted model, not a curated record. Lineage: Eukaryota; Metazoa; Chordata; Actinopteri; Cichliformes; Cichlidae.